This 375-nucleotide ribosomal RNA is filed under the name uncultured organism. Its description in RNAcentral is "partial 16S ribosomal RNA". It matches the Rfam family "Bacterial small subunit ribosomal RNA", at positions 527 to 896 of the family's 1533-position model. The record is from RNAcentral.
GUAGGUGGCAAGCGUUGUCCGGAAUUAUUGGGCGUAAAGCGCGCGCAGGCGGUCCUUUAAGUCUGAUGUGAAAGCCCACGGCUCAACCGUGGAGGGUCAUUGGAAACUGGGGGACUUGAGUACAGAAGAGGAAAGCGGAAUUCCAAGUGUAGCGGUGAAAUGCGUAGAGAUUUGGAGGAACACCAGUGGCGAAGGCGGCUUUCUGGUCUGUAACUGACGCUGAGGCGCGAAAGCGUGGGGAGCAAACAGGAUUAGAUACCCUGGUAGUCCACGCCGUAAACGAUGAGUGCUAAGUGUUAGGGGGUUUCCCGCCCCCCUUAGUGCUGCAGCUAACGCGUUAAGCACUCCGCCUGGGGGAGUACGGCCGCAAGGCUG